RNAcentral lists this transfer RNA (74 nucleotides) under Rhodospirillales bacterium. Its description in RNAcentral is "tRNA-Gln". It matches the Rfam family "tRNA". Rfam says of the family: Transfer RNA (tRNA) molecules are approximately 80 nucleotides in length. Their secondary structure includes four short double-helical elements and three loops (D, anti-codon, and T loops). Lineage: Bacteria; Pseudomonadati; Pseudomonadota; Alphaproteobacteria; Rhodospirillales. The record is from RNAcentral.
UGGCGCGUGGUGAAAGGGUAUCACUCCUGGUUUUGGUCCAGGUAUUGAGGGUUCAAAUCCUUCCGCGCCAACCA